GACGAACCGUGCGAACGUUGUUCGGAAUCACUGGGCUUAAAGGGCGCGUAGGCGGGCGGGCAAGUCAGGGGUGAAAUCCCACGGCUCAACCGUGGAAGUGCCUUUGAUACUGCCGGUCUGGAGGGAGGUAGGGGCGUGCGGAACUUCCGGUGGAGCGGUGAAAUGCGUAGAUAUCGGAAGGAACACCGGUGGCGAAAGCGGCGCGCUGGACCUCUACUGACGCUGAGGCGCGAAAGCUAGGGGAGCGAACAGG
RNAcentral lists this ribosomal RNA (253 nucleotides) under uncultured bacterium. RNAcentral's name for it is "partial 16S ribosomal RNA". It matches the Rfam family "Bacterial small subunit ribosomal RNA", at positions 524 to 776 of the family's 1533-position model. The record is from RNAcentral.